RNAcentral lists this transfer RNA (73 nucleotides) under Candidatus Kaiserbacteria bacterium. RNAcentral describes it as "tRNA-Thr". It matches the Rfam family "tRNA". From Rfam's summary of the family: Transfer RNA (tRNA) molecules are approximately 80 nucleotides in length. The record is from RNAcentral. Lineage: Bacteria; Candidatus Kaiseribacteriota. RNAcentral also lists the same sequence under 1 other name.
GCCAGCUUAGCUCAGUUGGUAGAGCAACGGAUUUGUAACCCGUAGGUCAUCAGUUCGAAUCUGAUAGCUGGCU